This 1602-nucleotide ribosomal RNA is filed under the name Triticum aestivum (bread wheat). RNAcentral's name for it is "partial small subunit ribosomal RNA". The record is from RNAcentral. Lineage: Eukaryota; Viridiplantae; Streptophyta; Magnoliopsida; Poales; Poaceae.
AUGCCCGCCGCCGCCGCCGCCGCCUCCGGGACGGCCGUGGCUUCCUACACCGACUACAUCCCCGACUCCGUCAAGAGCUUCGUCUCCGACCUCUACCGCUCCAUCCGCGGCGGCGACGUGGUCGGGACCGACAAGCUGUACGAGGGCGACUUCCACCGCCUCUCCGCCCGCGUGUACCGCGACGCGCCCUGGCCGCCCGCCAAGGCCGUCGCGACCUACUGCGACGACGACCACGUCUUCCUCCUCCUCUACAGCGAGCUCACGUCCCGCGACGCCCACGCGCGCCUCCCAGGCCUCACCCUCACGCGCCGCGCCGACUCCUGGGACACCUACUGCUCCCUCUUCACCGUCGUCCUCCAGAACGCCCUCACCAUGCAGCUGCCCAACCAGUGGCUCUGGGACAUGGUCGAUGGGUUCGUGUCCCAGUUCCAGACAUUCUGCCAGUACCGCACCAAACUCGAGGACAAGACCGAGGAGGAGAUCAGCCUACUCCAGCGGUUCGACCAGGCAUGGAGUGUGUAUGGGGUUUUCAAUUACUUGAAGGCACUGGUGGAGAAUUCGAUGAUCAGAGAGGUCCUGGAGAGGGAGGAGCGGCUUGAGCAGUUCACGAUGAUGAAUGGGUAUGAGCACAAGCAGGGUGGGAGCAACGUGUUGAAGAUGCUGGGGUACUACAGCAUGAUUGGGCUGCUGAGGGUGCAUUGCCUGAUAGGGGAUUACCAUACUGGGCUGAGGUGCUUGUUGCCUAUAGAUAUUGGCCAGCAGGGUGUCUACACCACUGUGACUGGGAGCUACAUUUCCACUAUCUACUACUAUGGUUUUGCCAACUUCAUGAUGCGCAGGUAUGCUGACGUGAUACAUCAAUUCAACAAAAUUCUGCUGUAUAUCCUGAAGUAUAAGCAAUACCAUGAGAAGUCUCCGCAGUAUGACUUUGUGCUGAAGAAGAAUGAGCAGAUGUAUGCACUAUUGGCAAUCUGCCUCUCAUUGUGCCCACAGAACAAUCUAAUAGCUGAAGAUGUUAGCACUGAGCUGAAGGGUAAGUAUGGUACUGAAAUGGAAGAGAUGCUUAGAGGUGAUGGUGAGGCACAUUAUGAUGAACUCUUUUCCGUUGCCUGCCCCAAGUUCAUUGCUGCAUGGCCUCCAGUUUUAAAAGAGCCAUUUACAAACUACAACCAGGAUGUAUAUCGUCUUCAGUUGAAGCUGUUUCUUGAUGAAGUGAAGCAACAGCUAUUUCUUGGGGAUAUCAGAAGCUUUCUAAAAGUGUUUUCAGUGAUAACCAUUGGCAGACUUGCGCAGCACAUGAGAUUGGAUGAGAACGCUCUAAGGGCAAUCCUUCUGGCGUACACCCGCAAAACUCAUGCCGUUGACAACUACGGAAAGAUCACAUCCAGUGCAGACUUUGACUUCUAUAUUGAUGAGGAAACAAUUCAUGCUACUGAAUCCAAGUCAAGCAAGCACCACCAUGAUUACUUUUUGACGCAUAUUUCGAAGCUUGAGGAAGUGAUGGGCGAGUUGAGUGAGGUACAGCUAGCUGAGCCUGCAAUUUCCCCGGGUGAAGAAGCUUGCAUGCUUCCUUCUUACGACGGGGCGCACUGGCACUGCUGA